ACGCGUCCGCCGUCGUCCACCCACCGCCCUGCUGAGCCAAUGCGCGGAGGACCUCGCGCCGGCACGCGUCCCGCACCGCCUGCCCCUCGGCUUAAAGCCACCCCCACCCCGGCCGCGCUCUUCCUCUUCCUCUCGCUCUCGCUCGUGCUGUGCCAGGUCCACCCAAACCACCGAACGCCGCCGGCAAAAUCCACCGCGCCCCGCACCACGGAUUCCAAAUCGCCCGCGCACAUAACUUUAACGCAUUCCCCUCCAACUCCCCGAGCAAAUCCAAGCCCCAGCCGAGCACCACACCGCCGGGAUUUCUUGGUUUUCCAAGCCGCCCGCGCCGCCACCACCGCCUCGCCGUCGACCACCUUCCCGGGUACUCCAGCCCCAAAGAACCGCCCGGAUCGACCACUGUUCAAUUUAUUUAGUACUUGGUAAACGACUACACUGUUGAGAAAAGGGGAUGAAGGCAGAGGGAAGGAAGGAGGAGAAGAAGAAGAGAAGGGGACAAGAAGAGAGGAAGAGGAGGAGGCCGUGCCAGGCUGGGAAAGAGGAGUCGGAUUCGCCUCGUCGCCGCUCGAGGAGGAAGAGUUGUCGCCACCGUCACCAAGGGAGCCAUUUCGCGAGCCUUCACCACGCUGACAUCCCUCUUCUCCUCCGCCUCACUGUAGGCUGACGUUUGACGUUGAGAUGUGGGGGAGGGAGCUCUCACAUCGCCUACAUCGCCUAGUGUGUCUGGGUUCUGGAUACUUGAGCGAAGAAAGGAUUUGGAGCGAAGGAUCUGGUGGUUUGUGACGAUUUCCUUGAUGUGAGGUGUUGACCUUGGAGAUGAUGGUGGCUUUUUAGGGUCGGAGCCCGACUACAACUUCACCAACGAUGGAUGGGAAGAUUUGGGAUGGUCCCUCGCUCAAGUCGCCUCUGGUGAUGUUGUUCGCCACGCUACAUAUUUCCGCUGCGUAGAUAUUUUACCUUUCAUGAUUCAGUCUUGAUGGACUUGUACCAACAUGUGUCAAAGUGAUGUACUCGACAUUUAUGAUAUUGUCACUGUUGCUAUUCUAUAUUUCUAUGUUGGUAUGGAUUUGUACUAUCUGAAA
Setaria italica (foxtail millet) is the source of this 1082-nucleotide long non-coding RNA. RefSeq lists it as uncharacterized. The record is from RefSeq and is a predicted model, not a curated record. The transcript has 4 exons. NCBI's taxonomy places the organism in Eukaryota, Viridiplantae, Streptophyta, Magnoliopsida, Poales, Poaceae.